UAGUAGGAAAAUUAUAAAAUAUUACUAAGGC
This 31-nucleotide non-coding RNA is filed under the name Mus musculus (house mouse). Lineage: Eukaryota; Metazoa; Chordata; Mammalia; Rodentia; Muridae. The record is from RNAcentral.